Molecule: ribosomal RNA, 535 nt
Filed under: uncultured Glomus
Lineage: Eukaryota; Fungi; Glomeromycota; Glomeromycetes; Glomerales; Glomeraceae
Description: SSU rRNA
Rfam family: Eukaryotic small subunit ribosomal RNA
Source: RNAcentral
AGCAGCCGCGGUAAUUCCAGCUCCAAUAGCGUAUAUUAAAGUUGUUGCAGUUAAAAAGCUCGUAGUUGAAUUUCGGGAUCAAAUUGUCGGUCGUGCCUCGGUACGCACUGGUAUUAUUGGUUCCUACCUUCUGAAGAACCGCGAUGUCAUUAAUUUGGUGUCGUGGGGAAUCAGGACUGUUACUUUGAAAAAAUUAGAGUGUUUAAAGCAGGCUUACGCUUGAAUACAUUAGCAUGGAAUAAUGAAAUAGGACGUUUGAUUCUAUUUUGUUGGUUCUUUUUGUUUGUUUUCUAGGAUUGACGUAAUGAUUAAUAGGGAUAGUUGGGGGCAUUAGUAUUCAAUUGUCAGAGGUGAAAUUCUUGGAUUUAUUGAAGACUAACUACUGCGAAAGCAUUUGCCAAGGAUGUUUUCAUUAAUCAAGAACGAAAGUUAGGGGAUCGAAGACGAUCAGAUACCGUCGUAGUCUUAACCAUAAACUAUGCCGACUAGGGAUCGGAUGAUGUUAAUUUUUUAAUGACUCAUUCGGCGCCUUACG